Molecule: long non-coding RNA, 666 nt
Filed under: Anas platyrhynchos platyrhynchos (common mallard)
Lineage: Eukaryota; Metazoa; Chordata; Aves; Anseriformes; Anatidae
Description: lncRNA (ENSAPLG00000024057.1)
Source: RNAcentral
CCUCGGCACCCAGUCCUCAUCGCCUCCUCCGUCCCCACAGCCCGACGUGCCGCUGGUCUUCCUCUCCACGCACAAAUCCCAGCUGGACGGGCUGCUGCUCUCCUUCCUCUUCUUCUCCAACGGCCUGGGGGUGCCCAGGGUGACAGUGGAUAGCUUGAACUGCAGCCCUUGCCUCCGGUAAGGCACGGGGAGCCCUUUAUCAGCCCGGCACGUGGCUGCUGCCCUGCACAGGGUGAAUGAGAUUGCCUGUGGGGAGGGCAGAAGGGUGGCAGGGAGGACGUGGUCCCAUUCAUGGGGGGCACCCACAGCAUUUUCCUCCCCAACAGGGCCUUGCUUCGCUGCCUGGGGGGGGUUUUCCUGCCUGUGGGGAUGGAGCAGGCAUCGAGUGGGCAGGACGGAGGGCUCCCAGCUGCUGUGCUUGCCUCGUACGUCGAGGAGGUGCUGAGGAGCCGCCAGCCUCUGCUGAUCUUCCUGGAGGAGCCCUGCGCCCCGCGGUGCCUUUCAGCUACUGCCCAGGAGUGGCUGGCCCCGGUGCUCCGAGCCGUGCGGGACGGCGCCGUCCCCGAUGUCCUCGUGGUCCCCGUGGGCAUCGCCUACGACCUGGCCCCCGACAGCCUCCAGGGCAGCGGAGCGGUGAGCGGCCCCGAGCCCACUCCUGCCCUGGGA